Molecule: ribosomal RNA, 301 nt
Filed under: uncultured bacterium
Lineage: Bacteria
Description: partial 16S ribosomal RNA
Rfam family: Bacterial small subunit ribosomal RNA
Source: RNAcentral
CAGCAGCCGCGGUAAAACGAAGGGUGCAAGCGUUACUCGGAAUUACUGGGCGUAAAGCGUGUGUAGGUGGUUGUUUAAGUCUGUCGUGAAAGCCCUGGGCUCAACCUGGGAAUUGCGAUGGAUACUGGGCGACUAGAGUGCGGUAGAGGAUAGUGGAAUUUCCGGUGUAGCAGUGAAAUGCGUAGACAUCGGAAGGAACAUCUGUGGCGAAGGCGACUAUCUGGGCCAACACUGACACUGAGACACGAAAGCGUGGGGAGCAAACAGGAUUAGAUACCCCAGUAGUCCCUGUCCCUUAUAC